Molecule: ribosomal RNA, 395 nt
Filed under: uncultured bacterium
Lineage: Bacteria
Description: bacterial SSU rRNA
Rfam family: Bacterial small subunit ribosomal RNA
Source: RNAcentral
AUUGAACGCUGGCGGAAUGCUUUACACAUGCAAGUCGAACGGCAGCACGGGGCAACCUGGUGGCGAGUGGCGAACGGGUGAGUAAUACAUCGGAACGUGCCCAAUCGUGGGGGAUAACGUAGCGAAAGUUACGCUAAUACCGCAUACGAUCUACGGAUGAAAGCGGGGGAUCGCAAGACCUCGCGCGAAUGGAGCGGCCGAUGUCAGAUUAGGUAGUUGGUGGGGUAAAGGCUCACCAAGCCGACGAUCUGUAGCUGGUCUGAGAGGACGACCAGCCACACUGGGACUGAGACACGGCCCAGACUCCUACGGGAGGCAGCAGUGGGGGAAUUUUUGGGACAAUGGGCGGCAAGCCUGAUCCAGCCAUUCCGCGUGCAGGAUGAAAGGCCUCGGUU